GCUCUCUAAAACUGCUUCUCCUCAUCAGUCAGUCAGUGGUCAGUCAACAAGCCCUGAUCAGGCAUAUUCAGGAGGACAUGAAUGUUCCCUGUCAUUCUCUGUUAGACCAGGAGUCAGGAGCCCUGAGUUCAAGUCUUUCACCAGUGACUUAACCCUGAAGACAGAGACAUUGCUCAUGAAAUGUGCAAACGGCCCAGAGCUGUGAAGGAUGAUUAAUACGCUUUUUGACAGAGUCGGGGCCCAGAAGGACCUUGACGAGCCGGAGAAUGGAGUUGAAUAUAAUGAAUGAAUUAUGAAUAAAUGUAAAUAAAGCCUUAUAUGGUUUCAAGAUAUCAGCUUCACAAGCAUGUAGGGGAGAUAGAGUUACAGGGGACCGCAAGCUCCAGAUGAGUCAGCCGUCAGUCAACAAGUAUUUAUUAGGGGGUGGCUAGGUAGCCAGGCAGGCACACAGGAGGUCUUGAGUUCAAAUCUCACCUCAGACACAGUCUAGCCGUGUGACCCUGGGCAAGUCACUUAACCCCCAUUUCCUGGCACCAAUGUUGGUUCCAAGAUGGAAGAAUCAUCAAACUCCCUCGGUUGGAUGGAAGUCCGGAUGGCUGGUGCCAGCCCAGGAAGCGGAGGAUCUCCCUGGCACCUUCCGUGUCUGCCCACGUUCGAAGUGCUCCCCGGCGUCUGCUUCUGUCCCCAUCAUGGCCACUGCAGCAAAUGUUCAUCCUCCUCCCCGUCGGCCAGGGAUGUCUUUCCGGGCCUGGAGCAGACAGCCCCCGACUCACCGGCUACUCUCAAGCUGCCCGUGCGAUGCUUCUUGGAUCCACGAGGGAAUUGGGGGGCCGGGGGACACCCAGCAUGGACGAGGAGCCCCGAGAAGGGCUCAGCAAGCCCUGCCACCAGAGCUCCCAGCCUUCCCGGAGCCGCUGGCACACCCCUGGUUAGUGCGAGAUGGAAAUGUUGUUGUCAGGCCAGGGCGACAGUUCUGGGUACUCUUCCCUGCUCAGACUCCUUCUGGGCUAGUGAUGUCUUCCCCAGCACUCAGGCCGGACCGUGAGAAAGGGGACGGCUAG
Molecule: long non-coding RNA, 1061 nt
Filed under: Monodelphis domestica (gray short-tailed opossum)
Lineage: Eukaryota; Metazoa; Chordata; Mammalia; Didelphimorphia; Didelphidae
Description: lncRNA (ENSMODG00000045304.1)
Source: RNAcentral